RNAcentral lists this transfer RNA (69 nucleotides) under bovine gut metagenome. It matches the Rfam family "tRNA". From Rfam's summary of the family: Transfer RNA (tRNA) molecules are approximately 80 nucleotides in length. Their secondary structure includes four short double-helical elements and three loops (D, anti-codon, and T loops). The record is from RNAcentral.
CAGAUGUAGUUUAAUGGUUAGAACUUAACAUUGCCAAUGUUAGGAUACGGGUUCGAUUCCCGUUAUCUG